RNAcentral lists this ribosomal RNA (270 nucleotides) under uncultured archaeon. RNAcentral describes it as "partial 16S ribosomal RNA". It matches the Rfam family "Archaeal small subunit ribosomal RNA", at positions 477 to 747 of the family's 1478-position model. The record is from RNAcentral.
CAGCACCUCAAGUGGUCAGGAUGAUUAUUGGGCCUAAAGCAUCCGUAGCCGGCUCUGUAAGUUUUCGGUUAAAUCUGUGCGCUCAACGUACAGGCUGCCGGGAAUACUGCAGCGCUAGGGAGUGGGAGAGGUAGACGGUACUCGGUAGGAAGGGGUAAAAUCCUUUGAUCUAUUGAUGACCACCUGUGGCGAAGGCGGUCUACCAGAACACGUCCGACGGUGAGGGAUGAAAGCUGGGGGAGCAAACCGGAUUAGAGACCCGAGUAGUCC